Molecule: ribosomal RNA, 2923 nt
Filed under: Klebsiella pneumoniae
Lineage: Bacteria; Pseudomonadati; Pseudomonadota; Gammaproteobacteria; Enterobacterales; Enterobacteriaceae
Description: 23S ribosomal RNA
Rfam family: Bacterial large subunit ribosomal RNA
Source: RNAcentral
GGGUUGUGAGGUUAAGCGACUAAGCGUACACGGUGGAUGCCCUGGCAGUCAGAGGCGAUGAAGGACGUGCUAAUCUGCGAAAAGCGUCGGUAAGGUGAUAUGAACCGUUAUAACCGGCGAUGUCCGAAUGGGGAAACCCAGUGCAAUUCGUUGCACUAUCGUUAACUGAAUACAUAGGUUAACGAGGCGAACCGGGGGAACUGAAACAUCUAAGUACCCCGAGGAAAAGAAAUCAACCGAGAUUCCCCCAGUAGCGGCGAGCGAACGGGGAGCAGCCCAGAGUCUGAAUCAGCUUGUGUGUUAGUGGAACGGUCUGGAAAGUCCGACGGUACAGGGUGAUAGUCCCGUACACCAAAAUGCACAGGCUGUGAACUCGAAGAGUAGGGCGGGACACGUGGUAUCCUGUCUGAAUAUGGGGGGACCAUCCUCCAAGGCUAAAUACUCCUGACUGACCGAUAGUGAACCAGUACCGUGAGGGAAAGGCGAAAAGAACCCCGGCGAGGGGAGUGAAAAAGAACCUGAAACCGUGUACGUACAAGCAGUGGGAGCACCUUCGGGUGUGACUGCGUACCUUUUGUAUAAUGGGUCAGCGACUUAUAUUCUGUAGCAAGGUUAACCGUAUAGGGGAGCCGCAGGGAAACCGAGUCUUAACUGGGCGUUAAGUUGCAGGGUAUAGACCCGAAACCCGGUGAUCUAGCCAUGGGCAGGUUGAAGGUUGGGUAACACUAACUGGAGGACCGAACCGACUAAUGUUGAAAAAUUAGCGGAUGACUUGUGGCUGGGGGUGAAAGGCCAAUCAAACCGGGAGAUAGCUGGUUCUCCCCGAAAGCUAUUUAGGUAGCGCCUCGUGAAUUCAUCUUCGGGGGUAGAGCACUGUUUCGGCUAGGGGGUCAUCCCGACUUACCAACCCGAUGCAAACUACGAAUACCGAAGAAUGUUAUCACGGGAGACACACGGCGGGUGCUAACGUCCGUCGUGAAGAGGGAAACAACCCAGACCGCCAGCUAAGGUCCCAAAGUCAUGGUUAAGUGGGAAACGAUGUGGGAAGGCACAGACAGCCAGGAUGUUGGCUUAGAAGCAGCCAUCAUUUAAAGAAAGCGUAAUAGCUCACUGGUCGAGUCGGCCUGCGCGGAAGAUGUAACGGGGCUAAACCAUGCACCGAAGCUGCGGCAGCGACACUAUGUGUUGUUGGGUAGGGGAGCGUUCUGUAAGCCUGCGAAGGUGUGCUGUGAGGCAUGCUGGAGGUAUCAGAAGUGCGAAUGCUGACAUAAGUAACGAUAAAGCGGGUGAAAAGCCCGCUCGCCGGAAGACCAAGGGUUCCUGUCCAACGUUAAUCGGGGCAGGGUGAGUCGACCCCUAAGGCGAGGCCGAAAGGCGUAGUCGAUGGGAAACAGGUUAAUAUUCCUGUACUUGGUGUUACUGCGAAGGGGGGACGGAGAAGGCUAUGUUAGCCGGGCGACGGUUGUCCCGGUUUAAGCAUGUAGGCUGGUUAUCCAGGCAAAUCCGGAUAAUCAAGGCUGAGGUGUGAUGACGAGGCACUACGGUGCUGAAGUAACAAAUGCCCUGCUUCCAGGAAAAGCCUCUAAGCAUCAGGUAACAUUAAAUCGUACCCCAAACCGACACAGGUGGUCAGGUAGAGAAUACCAAGGCGCUUGAGAGAACUCGGGUGAAGGAACUAGGCAAAAUGGUGCCGUAACUUCGGGAGAAGGCACGCUGGUGUGUAGGUGAAGUCCCUGCGGAUGGAGCUGAGACCAGUCGAAGAUACCAGCUGGCUGCAACUGUUUAUUAAAAACACAGCACUGUGCAAACACGAAAGUGGACGUAUACGGUGUGACGCCUGCCCGGUGCCGGAAGGUUAAUUGAUGGGGUUAUCCGUAAGGAGAAGCUCUUGAUCGAAGCCCCGGUAAACGGCGGCCGUAACUAUAACGGUCCUAAGGUAGCGAAAUUCCUUGUCGGGUAAGUUCCGACCUGCACGAAUGGCGUAAUGAUGGCCAGGCUGUCUCCACCCGAGACUCAGUGAAAUUGAACUCGCUGUGAAGAUGCAGUGUACCCGCGGCAAGACGGAAAGACCCCGUGAACCUUUACUAUAGCUUGACACUGAACAUUGAGCCUUGAUGUGUAGGAUAGGUGGGAGGCUUUGAAGCGUGGACGCCAGUCUGCGUGGAGCCAACCUUGAAAUACCACCCUUUAAUGUUUGAUGUUCUAACGUUGGCCCCUUACCGGGGUUGCGGACAGUGUCUGGUGGGUAGUUUGACUGGGGCGGUCUCCUCCCAAAGCGUAACGGAGGAGCACGAAGGUUAGCUAAUCCUGGUCGGACAUCAGGAGGUUAGUGCAAUGGCAUAAGCUAGCUUGACUGCGAGCGUGACGGCGCGAGCAGGUGCGAAAGCAGGUCAUAGUGAUCCGGUGGUUCUGAAUGGAAGGGCCAUCGCUCAACGGAUAAAAGGUACUCCGGGGAUAACAGGCUGAUACCGCCCAAGAGUUCAUAUCGACGGCGGUGUUUGGCACCUCGAUGUCGGCUCAUCACAUCCUGGGGCUGAAGUAGGUCCCAAGGGUAUGGCUGUUCGCCAUUUAAAGUGGUACGCGAGCUGGGUUUAGAACGUCGUGAGACAGUUCGGUCCCUAUCUGCCGUGGGCGCUGGAGAAUUGAGGGGGGCUGCUCCUAGUACGAGAGGACCGGAGUGGACGCAUCACUGGUGUUCGGGUUGUCAUGCCAAUGGCACUGCCCGGUAGCUAAAUGCGGAAGAGAUAAGUGCUGAAAGCAUCUAAGCACGAAACUUGCCCCGAGAUGAGUUCUCCCUGAGACUUUAAGUCUCCUGAAGGAACGUUAAAGACGAUGACGUUGAUAGGCCGGGUGUGUAAGCGCAGCGAUGCGUUGAGCUAACCGGUACUAAUGAACCGUGAGGCUUAACCUUACAACGCCGAAG